RNAcentral lists this non-coding RNA (199 nucleotides) under Desulfobacterales bacterium. The record is from RNAcentral. Lineage: Bacteria; Pseudomonadati; Thermodesulfobacteriota; Desulfobacteria; Desulfobacterales.
UACUACCCAUGUUCCCCUGGUGGCGGCUGCAUCACUGCACCGCUGAAAAGGGAAUCCCGUGCAAAUCGGGAGCGCUGGGCCGGCGCUGUAAACAGGGACUGCAACCGCAUUUUGUCACUGUCCGGAAUUUUAGGAUGGGAAGGCGCGGCCAGCGGGAUGAUCUGUGAGUCAGAAGACCUGCCAGGGAACAAAUAUCAGA